Long non-coding RNA from Sander lucioperca (pikeperch), 564 nucleotides. RefSeq lists it as uncharacterized. NCBI's taxonomy places the organism in Eukaryota, Metazoa, Chordata, Actinopteri, Perciformes, Percidae. The record is from RefSeq and is a predicted model, not a curated record. The transcript has 2 exons.
UGCUGCAGUAGAGACCUGAGGGAGAGAGCAGAGGAGAAAUCAGAGAGAACGAGCGGUGGUUAAUAAGCAGAGAAAAGAGUGGAAAAGUUGAUUUUGCAGUUGAAAAACAUAACUUACCUGGUCGGGAACUGACGGGGAUUUUAUGAGAACUAAGUCACACCGGUUUUGGUCAGCUUUUUUGCUCAGUUUGAAGCUCGGUUGGAGCGAGGAUUGGUGCACAGACGGGAUUCAAGAUGGCGAGCCAGACCCAGACCUUCGACUCAUCUUCUCCUCAGUGAGGAAAUCUUCUGCGUAUGAUGACUCGCUGCCAGAGUGGUAGGGGUAUCAGGAAUUGGUUUUGAACUGAACUGGGAACUGAUUGAAUUAUUAUCUUUGGACUGAAUCGAACUGAAACUUUUCAUUGAACUGAAUAAUUGAACUCACAUUUGGACUUGAACUUGAAUUUAAGGUGUUAUACUUUUAUUUUCAUAUUGAGUUCAUAUUUUUGAAUGUGAUUUGAAAUGAUUGUGGUCCACUUUGAUUUGAUUGUGUAAUUGAAGGUAUUCUCUUACCUGUAAAAGAAAG